UAGGGAAUCUUCGGCAAUGGGGGGAACCCUGACCGAGCAACGCCGCGUGAGUGAAGAAGGUUUUCGGAUCGUAAAGCUCUGUUGUUAAGGAAGAACGAGUGUGAGAAUGGAAAGUUCAUACUGUGACGGUACUUAACCAGAAAGGGACGGCUAACUACGUGCCAGCAGCCGCGGUAAUACGUAGGUCCCGAGCGUUGUCCGGAUUUAUUGGGCGUAAAGCGAGCACAGGCGGUUAGAUAAGUCUGAAGUUAAAGGCAGUGGCUCAACCAUUGUAGGCUUUGGAAACUGUUUAACUUGAGUGCAGAAGGGGAGAGUGGAAUUCCAUGUGUAGCGGUGAAAUGCGUAGAUAUAUGGAGGAACACCGGUGGCGAAAGCGGCUCUCUGGUCUGUAACUGACGCUGAGGCUCGAAAGCGUGGGGAGCGAACAGG
RNAcentral lists this ribosomal RNA (429 nucleotides) under Bacteroidota bacterium. Its description in RNAcentral is "Bacteroidetes bacterium partial 16S ribosomal RNA". It matches the Rfam family "Bacterial small subunit ribosomal RNA", at positions 355 to 776 of the family's 1533-position model. Lineage: Bacteria; Pseudomonadati; Bacteroidota. The record is from RNAcentral.